GACGAACGCUGGCGGCGUGCCUAAUACAUGCAAGUCGAACGCUUCUUUCCUCCCGAGUGCUUGCACUCAAUUGGAAAGAGGAGUGGCGGACGGGUGAGUAACACGUGGGUAACCUACCCAUCAGAGGGGGAUAACACUUGGAAACAGGUGCUAAUACCGCAUAACAGUUUAUGCCGCAUGGCAUAAGAGUGAAAGGCGCUUUCGGGUGUCGUUGAUGGAUGGACCCGCGGUGCAUUAGCUAGUUGGUGAGGUAACGGCUCACCAAGGCCACGAUGCAUAGCCGACCUGAGACGGUGAUCGGCCACACUGGGACUGAGACACGGCCCAGACUCCUACGGGAGGCAGCAGUAGGGAAUCUUCGGCAAAGGACGAAAGUCUGACCGAGCAACGCCGCGUGAGUGAAGAAGGUUUUCGGAUCGUAAAACUCCGUUGUUAGAGAAGAACAAGGACGUUAGUAACUGAACGUCCCCUGACGGUAUCUAACCAGAAAGCCACGGCUAACUACGUG
This 508-nucleotide ribosomal RNA is filed under the name uncultured bacterium. RNAcentral's name for it is "partial 16S ribosomal RNA". It matches the Rfam family "Bacterial small subunit ribosomal RNA", at positions 28 to 507 of the family's 1533-position model. The record is from RNAcentral.